RNAcentral lists this ribosomal RNA (253 nucleotides) under uncultured bacterium. Its description in RNAcentral is "partial 16S ribosomal RNA". It matches the Rfam family "Bacterial small subunit ribosomal RNA", at positions 524 to 776 of the family's 1533-position model. The record is from RNAcentral.
UACGUAGGGUGCAAGCGUUGUCCGGAAUUAUUGGGCGUAAAGAGCUCGUAGGCGGUCUGUCGCGUCUGCUGUGAAAACUCAGGGCUUAACCCUGAGCUUGCAGUGGGUACGGGCAGACUAGAGUGCGGUAGGGGAGACUGGAAUUCCUGGUGUAGCGGUGAAAUGCGCAGAUAUCAGGAGGAACACCCGUGGCGAAAGCGGCUCUCUGGAACGGUACUGACGCUGAGACGCGAAAGCGUGGGGAGCGAACAGG